CCUACGGGUGGCAGCAGUGAGGAAUAUUGGUCAAUGGACGGAAGUCUGAACCAGCCAUGCCGCGUGCAGGAAGACGGCUCUAUGAGUUGUAAACUGCUUUUGUACAAGGGUAAACCUGAAUACGUGUAUUCAGCUGAAAGUACUGUACGAAUAAGGAUCGGCUAAACCCGUGCCAGCAGCCGCGGUAAUACGGAGGAUCCAAGCGUUAUCCGGAUUUUUUGGGUUUAAAGGGUGCGUAGGGGGAGUGAUAAGGUAGAGGUGAAAUGUCCGAGCGCAACUCGGGAACUGCCUCUAAUACUGGGGAGCUAGAGAGUAGGUGCGGUAGGCGGAAUGUAUGGUGUAGCGGUGAAAUGCUUAGAGAUCAUACAGAACACCGAUUGCGAAGGCAGCUUACCAAUCUAUAUCUGACGUUGAGGCACGAAAGCGUGGGGAGCGAACAGGAUUAGAUACCCUUGUAGUC
Molecule: ribosomal RNA, 460 nt
Filed under: uncultured bacterium
Lineage: Bacteria
Description: partial 16S ribosomal RNA
Rfam family: Bacterial small subunit ribosomal RNA
Source: RNAcentral